GCGCGACUCUGAGGCAGCCGCAGCCCGAGCCGCUUCAAACGGCGGGGCGGGGCGCCGGGGGCGGGGCCUCGGGCUGUAGGCGGGGCCAAGGCUCGGCGCCUUAGGACUCAGGGGAAAAUAACGCGGCAGGAGCACGGGGGCGUGGCCUCGGGCGGGGAAGGCGGUGGGACCGCUCCGGAGCCGACGAAAGGACCACUGAGACGCCUCGAAGCUGCGCCUGCGCGUCCUCUGCAGCUGCUACUGGUGCUGUGCCAGGUGACCUCAUCCCUCGGCCGGCCUGAGGAAACGAGGAGGCGCCUCCCACCCACUCCCCCGCUGCAGCACCCCAGAACUCAUCGCCCUUUCCCGCAGCGGCCACCUCCCCAACUCCUUCUAUUACGCCGAGUUGCCUUUUCCAAGACAACUUACCGGAAAGUUUUCAUCGCCUGGGGAACACCUUUUUUUUCUGCCUCUGACUUCGUUUUUGCCUUUGACGCUCCUGAUCGUUUCGAUCUUGGCAGCCGGCGUAUUCACAAAUAUUUAUGAAACCUUACUGUGUUUCUGGCUCUGAGCUACCCCUUGGAGAGUAACAAUUCCCAGAGCUCACGAUCUUGAACUGCAAUUUCUGUGCCUGCAGGCCACUAAGGACUCCCAAGUCGUUGUCCAUCUUGUUCCCCACUGCCCACACCCAUUUCUUCCCCCUGCUCACCUGGCAAAUUUGAGUGUGCAUCAGAAUCACCUGGGUGCUACACGCAGCCCCGCUUUAUGUGUUUCCCAGAUCCUCUGGGAAAAAGAGAAAUCCACAUCUUAGCAAGCACCAGCACAAUUCUGAAGUAGGUGGUCCACAAACCAGUUAAACUGCGCUGGGAUUUAAGCCCCCGAGGGCAAGAGCUGUGCUUGCCUAGAGAUUGUAGGCACCUAGUCCCGGUUUGCUGCCUUUGAGUGCCUGGGGCAAAUUUCACCUCCUCUGGAAGCAAUUACUUGUGCCCUUUUCUUAUUUUCCGUAAUACUUGACUCACAGCUACUCCUCCCAACUUCCCAGGUUGGGCUAAACAGUGAGUUCCAGAAGGCCCAGACAUGGGAGGUUUGUUUCCAUAUCCUCGGUGCCUAGCACAUAUCAGAAUGUUUGAACAAAUUGUAUGUAGGCAUGAAAACACAGUGAAACUUGCAACAACUUCUUCUGCCACCCCAAAGCAAGUUGUUCAGAUUUUCUCAUAGAGGUUCCAUGAAAGAGCCAGUGUAUCCCAGUGGUCAAGAACACAUGCUCUGGAGUCUGACUAUUUAAGUUCAAAUCCGACAAGGCAAUGUCCUUAAAACCCCUAAGCCUCAGUUUCAUUAUCUAGAAGUGGGCGGGGCUAAUUACUGAUUCUUGCCUUACCAUAUGUUCUGCUUGGUCAGUAUGGCUGUUACCUGCAUUGAGACUUAUUCUGUCCCUACCACCCCUGCAGGCUAGAAUGUGGCAUCAUAUUCUACUCUCUCUAUGCCCGGCUAGUUCAUUGAAAAUAAAUAAAAAAUAAAUUCCAGAGGCUCCCCUUAGAUGGGGGCUUGAACCAUGAAAA
Non-coding RNA from Macaca mulatta (Rhesus monkey), 1538 nucleotides. The record is from RefSeq and is a predicted model, not a curated record. NCBI's taxonomy places the organism in Eukaryota, Metazoa, Chordata, Mammalia, Primates, Cercopithecidae.